Otolemur garnettii (small-eared galago) is the source of this 75-nucleotide non-coding RNA. The record is from Rfam. Lineage: Eukaryota; Metazoa; Chordata; Mammalia; Primates; Galagidae.
GGGCCUGUGGCUCAAAAGGGUAGGGCACCGGUCCCACAUGCCAGAGGUAGCGGGUUCAAACCCGGCCCUGGCCCA